GAUUAGAACCUAUGCCCAUGGAAUCCUAGUGCUUACAAGGUGAGGACUUUACCCAUUAGGCUAUUGCAUUGGGCCCCAAAAGACUUUUCUUAAGCUGUCUCAUAAGACAUGAAUUCUGAGUAAAGUUGUUUACCCAGAGUAGGCUUAAUGUACGUUAGAUGAUAUCAGCAAUACUGUCACAUGUCGUAUCACUUCAGAGCUAUCAAUUCUGAGUAUCAAAAUUCAGUAACACUGUUAGUUUUCUAUACAUACUUUGGGAGUAGCCUUCAAAAUAACAUUACCUUUGACUUUUCUCCUUUCAGGAUUCUUGUCAUUGCUAGAGGUGAUAUUCUUAAAAACUGGUGAUGAUUUUGCCUGUUGAAAAAUGCCAGCAGUUAGCUCGUAGUACAUAAUCAGAAUGGACUGAGUUUUAAAUGAUUAGAAAGAAAGUCAGGAUAAAGAAACUGCUAGUUCAAAGCCUGUAAAGAUUGACCUUAACUUGCCUUAAAUAAACAAUAAUGGACAUACAAUUUCAGAAUCAUGUAGCAGCUACAUUCAAAGAGUACUCACUAAGGACUCUAAAUA
Long non-coding RNA from Ochotona curzoniae (black-lipped pika), 564 nucleotides. RefSeq lists it as uncharacterized. NCBI's taxonomy places the organism in Eukaryota, Metazoa, Chordata, Mammalia, Lagomorpha, Ochotonidae. The transcript has 2 exons. The record is from RefSeq and is a predicted model, not a curated record.